UACGUAGGCGGAAAAUUAGGUCAGUAGUGAAAUCCUGCAGCUUAACUGUAGAACUGUUAUUGAUACUGGUUUUCUUGAAUAUAGUUGAGGUAGGCGGAAUGUGUAAUGUAGCGGUGAAAUGCUUAGAUAUUACACAGAACACCGAUUGCGAAGGCAGCUUACUAAGCUAUGAUUGACGCUGAGGUACGAAAGCGUGGGGAGCGAACAGGAUUAGAUACCCUGGUAGUCC
This 229-nucleotide ribosomal RNA is filed under the name uncultured bacterium. RNAcentral describes it as "partial 16S ribosomal RNA". It matches the Rfam family "Bacterial small subunit ribosomal RNA", at positions 568 to 796 of the family's 1533-position model. The record is from RNAcentral.